Molecule: long non-coding RNA, 933 nt
Filed under: Salmo salar (Atlantic salmon)
Lineage: Eukaryota; Metazoa; Chordata; Actinopteri; Salmoniformes; Salmonidae
Description: lncRNA (ENSSSAG00000105678.1, ENSSSAG00020084650.1, ENSSSAG00075066464.1)
Source: RNAcentral
GUCAUAUCUCCAAUGACACUGUACACGUCACUACACUCAAUUGGGAAAAUGACAAUGGGAGCAUAGGGGUGCAGUAUAACUACAUGGACUGCUCCACUGCAGCAUGAGAGACUGGGAGGUAACCUGAUCCAGUCUCUGGUCUUCUUGCACUGCCAAGCAGAUAUUACUCUGUCUACAGUUGACGGCCAGCCCAUCCCCACCUGGCUGAAUCUACACUACUCGUUACGGUUAUCUCAGCGGGCAGCGGAGCGGGGACGUCAGCUGACAGCCAUUUCCCAUGAUGCCCCAGGAGGAGCCGUCAAGCUGUCCAUCCAACUGUCAGGUGACCAGUGGUUCCCAUGGUUCCCCCCUCUGCCACUCCAUUGAGCUGAAAGGCUCUAUUAUCUGUGCGUGUUGGAGAGGGACUGCUCAGGCUUUGAUAAGCUAUCACUGGUCCCAGGAUCUGCUGCUCUCUCACUGUCUAUGGCACACCUCUGGAAAAGCCGCCGGCACAUCCGGCUGGAGAACCCUGAAGCACUGGAAUGGGAUUGGGGGGACUAGUGAUGAAGACUACAGGAUGCCUAUCCACCGUGGCCUAGUGUUUUGAUGCCAUCUAUUGGAAUAAUUGACCAAUUUAUCAAGGGGAGUAUACAGAGUGACUACCAACUGAAAUGCUUUCUAUCCUCAUAAUAGAAGUGGUCAAUUAUAAAUAUAUCAGUUACAAUUACUAAAUUCUACCCAACAAACAUUGAGUAAACAUUCAGCUAAUUUUGAUAUCAGAAUGAUUAUAUCUCAACUACUUCUACCAAGUCAAAUUUCAAAUGAUGAAAUGGUGAUAUGAUCGUGAACUAGAGAUAUCUUGAUUUUGCAUGAUGCCAGGUGUUUUUAUAAAGUAAAACAAUAGUUUGGAUCAAUACAAAGCAUAUCUCUUUUCUCCCAAACAUUGGAAAUCAC